RNAcentral lists this ribosomal RNA (253 nucleotides) under uncultured bacterium. Its description in RNAcentral is "partial 16S ribosomal RNA". It matches the Rfam family "Bacterial small subunit ribosomal RNA", at positions 524 to 776 of the family's 1533-position model. The record is from RNAcentral.
UACGGAGGGUGCAAGCGUUAUCCGGAUUUACUGGGUUUAAAGGGUGUGUAGGCGGGCCAUUAAGUCAGUGGUGAAAUCUCCGGGCUCAACCUGGAAACUGCCAUUGAUACUAUUAGUCUUGAAUUCUGUUGAGGUGGGCAGAAUAUGUCAUGUAGCGGUGAAAUGCAUAGAUAUGACAUAGAAUACCAAUUGCGAAGGCAGCUCACUAAGCAGAUAUUGACGCUGAGGCACGAAAGCGUGGGGAUCAAACAGG